This 466-nucleotide ribosomal RNA is filed under the name uncultured bacterium. Its description in RNAcentral is "partial 16S ribosomal RNA". It matches the Rfam family "Bacterial small subunit ribosomal RNA", at positions 28 to 507 of the family's 1533-position model. The record is from RNAcentral.
GAUGAACGCUGGCGGCGUGCUUAACACAUGCAAGUCGAACGAUGAAGCCCAGCUUGCUGGGUGGAUUAGUGGCGAACGGGUGAGUAACACGUGAGUAACCUGCCCUUAACUCUGGGAUAAGCCUGGGGAACUGGGUCUAAUACCGGAUAGAAGCGCCUACCGCAUGGUGGGUGUUGGAAAGAUUUAUCGGUUUUGGAUGGACUCGCGGCUUAUCAGCUUGUUGGUGGGGUAAUGGCUCACCAAGGCGACGACGGGUAGCCGGCCUGAGAGGGUGACCGGCCACACUGGGACUGAGACACGGCCCAGACUCCUACGGGAGGCAGCAGUGGGGAAUAUUGCACAAUGGGCGAAAGCCUGAUGCAGCGACGCCGCGUGAGGGAUGACGGCCUUCGGGUUGUAAACCUCUUUCAGUAGGGAAGAAGCGAAAGUGACGGUACCUGCAGAAGAAGCACCGGCUAACUACGUG